AUUGAACGCUGGCGGCAUGCCUUACACAUGCAAGUCGAACGGCAGCACGGACUUCGGUCUGGUGGCGAGUGGCGAACGGGUGAGUAAUGUAUCGGAACGUACCUUUCAGUGGGGGAUAACGUAGCGAAAGUUACGCUAAUACCGCAUAUUCUGUGAGCAGAAAAGCAGGGGAUCGCAAGACCUUGCGCUGAUUGAGCGGCCGAUAUCAGAUUAGCUAGUUGGUGGGGUAAAGGCCUACCAAGGCUACGAUCUGUAGCGGGUCUGAGAGGAUGAUCCGCCACACUGGAACUGAGACACGGUCCAGACUCCUACGGGAGGCAGCAGUGGGGAAUUUUGGACAAUGGGGGCAACCCUGAUUCAGCCAUGCCGCGUGAGUGAAGAAGGCCUUCGGGUUGUAAAGCUCUUUCGGCCGGGAAGAAAUCGCAUAGGCUAAUACCCUGUGUGGAUGACGGUACCGGAAUAAGAAGCACCGGCUAACUACGUGCCAGCCGCCGCCGUAA
RNAcentral lists this ribosomal RNA (500 nucleotides) under uncultured bacterium. RNAcentral's name for it is "partial 16S ribosomal RNA". It matches the Rfam family "Bacterial small subunit ribosomal RNA", at positions 30 to 523 of the family's 1533-position model. The record is from RNAcentral.